This 44-nucleotide ribosomal RNA is filed under the name Melanoleuca sp. MCVE 24095. Its description in RNAcentral is "partial 18S ribosomal RNA". The record is from RNAcentral. Lineage: Eukaryota; Fungi; Basidiomycota; Agaricomycetes; Agaricales; Pluteaceae.
GUUAGGGAGUAAGUGUACAGGUUCGUAGUGACUGCGAGGAUAUU